UAUUCAUUCCUCGUACUCUCUCACCGGUCAGAGAGGCGAGAGAUUGUGUGAAAUGAAGAGA
RNAcentral lists this microRNA precursor (61 nucleotides) under Pristionchus pacificus. RNAcentral's name for it is "mir-8364 microRNA precursor family". It matches the Rfam family "mir-8364 microRNA precursor family". Lineage: Eukaryota; Metazoa; Nematoda; Chromadorea; Rhabditida; Neodiplogasteridae. The record is from Rfam by way of RNAcentral.